CCUCUGCUGGCAGGGGGCCAGCACGGCCGUUCAGGAAGCGGGCGCCAGCCCCCCAGGCUCUCGGGAGAAAGGGGGGCGGGCCUUCUCAACCUCCGCCACACCUCCACCUCGCGGGGGUCCUUGCGGAUGGAGCUUGAAGGCUGAUCAGACCCAGCUAGAGAUGACCCUCCACUUUCCUGCCUGUAGGGUGCAGAUCUGGUUGUAAACGACUGGGAGCUGAAUGGCAGAAGAGGACUCAGCAUCAAAUAUGCACUUUACCCCGUGCAGAGGCCCCAAAAACGUGGCCUUUGACAAGAAGGAGGAACAUGAGGGAUCUGGAAGCAAGUGGAUGCUUCUGGAGGUUGUGCUCUACUAAAAUGAGGGACUAAACAAAGAAAAAAAGAAGAUAUAGGAUAUAGGAACAGAAGAUAUAAUGCAGGAGAAAAAUGAUUUGAGAGGCCCUGACAACAAUUCUUCACUAGACAUGGAUUGGUACAGGUCCAGAAGGCCCAGAAGAGACUCCAUUUUCAGAUGAAACUGAUAGAACACCUCGUCUAUCUAAGUCUUGGGAAGCAGAGAUUGAAACAAUCGUUAAAAAGUUUGGGCUUGGCUUGGUGAUGGAUAGUAAACCAAAACAAGAUAAUAACUGCAGGAAAAACAAAAAGCUGAGCAGGAGAAGAAAAGUGAUCAUAGUAUAUACUACUUGGCCCAAGAUGUAAGUAAUGUUUACCUAAUCAUAAUGAAGUAAACAAAAACCUAUUAAAAAAGGACAAUAUAACUAGAUUGAGCAGAUCAAAGGAUGAAAAGUGUGGUGGCAGUGGGGAAAAGGAUAGGGAAAGAAAGAAGAACUAAAUCCUCAUUUCCCACUAAGUGAAAUCAACAGAUAAUGCCUAGAAGUGAGAAAUCGAGAAAUAGCAAUGCAAACAUUUUAUAUAGAGAACUGAAAGUAAAUAUCAAAAUAACCAGUUAAA
This is a long non-coding RNA of Acinonyx jubatus (cheetah), 950 nucleotides long. RefSeq lists it as uncharacterized. NCBI's taxonomy places the organism in Eukaryota, Metazoa, Chordata, Mammalia, Carnivora, Felidae. The transcript has 3 exons. The record is from RefSeq and is a predicted model, not a curated record.